CUGCGCAUGACGCUUCGUUGCCAUGGUAACGACGACAGCGCCCGGAGCCGACCUGGAGUUUAGCUGCCGGUUUACGGUUUGCUGUACGGUUUUAAAACACCUGCUGAACUAAACUAAACUAAACUAAACCAAUCCCGCAUGUUGUUGUCGUCAUGACUCGUCGUGUUCGUCCCGCGUUGACGGCGCCAUGACGGUCCGCUUCAAGUGUCAGAGUGAAUACCAGAAGAGCUACCGGGCUCCCCGGACCAGGAGUGUGUCUCCUCAGCGCUGCGUCCCGUUUGGUGGCCAGAUGGGUAUCAGCAGAGAAUCAAGUCUCCAGCGUCGCAGGAGACUUGGUCCUGCUGGUCUUGCUCAGUCCUGCACUUCUCUUCUCGGUCCACCUGAUCCACAGCAGCCCUUUACUGGACCAACUGCUCGUGCUCACAGAAGAUCACCUUCCGCUCCAGCUGCUCGGAGCCGCUCAGCCCAGAGGAAGGAGUCUUCCCUGGACUCAGAACCUCCUGAGUCUCGAACAGACCCCAAAUCUCCUGCAGAACCAGAAAAUUUAGCUGGGCCACAACCCACAGCAGAUCCUGGACCUCAAGACACUGGACCACAUCGUGCUCCAGAACCAGGAAGGCCUGGGAAUUCUAAAAAGCCCCACCCCUCCCAGCCUGACAGCCAACCACAGCCCGGCCCUUUGACAGCAGCCAAUGAGCCUGAGCAUGCACUGAGGUGGAGGACGGGGCUCAGGUCAGGAGGUCAGAGGUCAGAGUACCACAGACAGUUCACUUGGAAGAAACCUGCCACUACUGUGUCACCCAUCCUGACUGCAGAACAGCAAGUAAAUACUACAAAUACCACCUCAAACCACUAUAGAGUACAACUACACACUGAAUACACUGACUUCUGUGAACCCCAGGAAAACUCCCACAAACACAUCUUCAGCCCAAAGACUGAUCUUGAAUGAUGUGAGAUUUUUUUUUUCAGGAACAAAUGAACAGCACCUGUUGUCUUUGAAUUAACUUUGUGUUGACUGAACAGACAGGCUGAAUCUGUGUGUAGUUCAGCUGAGUGUCCACCAGGUGGAGGCAGCCGUUUGCUCGCCGGCUCACAUUGAUUCUGUUUGAAAAGUCGCUGAUUUGACAUUUAAUUGAUUUAGUAUUGAAGGAAUCGAUGCUGUUGACCUUUGACCCCCACCACCACUGCAGGUGCUGUACUCCAGCAGCAGAUCUGUCCCUCCCU
This 1224-nucleotide long non-coding RNA is filed under the name Echeneis naucrates (live sharksucker). Its description in RNAcentral is "lncRNA (ENSENLG00000007652.1)". Lineage: Eukaryota; Metazoa; Chordata; Actinopteri; Carangiformes; Echeneidae. The record is from RNAcentral.